UAUGGAUCCGAUACCAAGUAGUUACUGUUGAGUUAAAAACUCAGAAGUGUCAGUAAUCAUGGUCAACAUCAGUUCAGACUACAAUUCCCAGAAUGCCAAGGUAAAAUGGCCGCCAAAUUACUAAUUGAAGGCACCUGAAAAGGAAGGAGGUUCAGUCACUCAUGCGCCAAACAACCUCCAUGGAAAGAACAGCGGCAAGCAGCCACAACCGCAAGAUCCACUCAAGUUUCCAAACACACCAAUGGUUUACAACCUACUGACGAUUUUGAAGAUCAACUGAAAAGAAACCAACAAUUCUUCAAGUUGGAAAAAAUAAAAGUUGAUCAAUUGGAAAUCGUGGCCGGGUUGAAAACCAUUUCCCCGUUUGCCCUGGUCCAAGUUACGGUGGGCAUUGGAUUGCCCACAACGAUGGCUCGAAAGAUGGCACGUUUUCCUGAAACGUGGACAUUUACCAAUCAUUAGUGAUGUUUAUGCAGGGUACAAGAUGACUAAUUUAUCGUACUGGCUCUGAAAGGGGAAGUGCAUCUUUUUUGAGAAUGUUGUCGAUCAUUCACAGUCCUUAUGUGAGAC
Long non-coding RNA from Entelurus aequoreus (snake pipefish), 570 nucleotides. RefSeq lists it as uncharacterized. The record is from RefSeq and is a predicted model, not a curated record. Lineage: Eukaryota; Metazoa; Chordata; Actinopteri; Syngnathiformes; Syngnathidae. The transcript has 3 exons.